UUGUUUGCGGCUGUAGCAUCAUCAAGAUUCACACAUGCAAUUGAUGCAACUCAAAACUCCCUCUUUCGUCCAAAGUUGUUUGAAAGUACUGAGAAUCUUGAUGAUGCUGCAUCGGCAAUAAA
Molecule: microRNA precursor, 122 nt
Filed under: Rosa chinensis
Lineage: Eukaryota; Viridiplantae; Streptophyta; Magnoliopsida; Rosales; Rosaceae
Description: sRNA RchiOBHm_Chr5g0057891
Rfam family: mir-172 microRNA precursor family
About the family: mir-172 has been experimentally verified in Arabidopsis thaliana. This family is thought to target mRNAs coding for APETALA2-like transcription factors.
Source: Rfam by way of RNAcentral